Magallana angulata is the source of this 457-nucleotide long non-coding RNA. RefSeq lists it as uncharacterized. Lineage: Eukaryota; Metazoa; Mollusca; Bivalvia; Ostreida; Ostreidae. The transcript has 3 exons. The record is from RefSeq and is a predicted model, not a curated record.
CCUAAGUGGCCGGAAAGCUGGUUGGAGUCAAAUUUCAUUUAUAUAACAACAGUUUCGGGAUGAUUUAAGUCUAAGCAAAUAAUGGCUUUUCCUACGACUGACUGGUCUGUAGUUAUUGCGGAUAACAAGACAAGCAGAACAAUUAAAACUCUGUCUCCGUGUGCUUACACUGACAGCAAAGGCAUAGAACGAUUGGCGACAUUUUCCGCACUGUCGAAUAAUGUUAUCAUAGAGAAGAUAUUUGCCGUCCGACUCGCGUCAUCUGGAUGUAUAUUCAAUGCUGAAGAGAAUUUCGUAGAAUGCACAGAGUGUGGAAAAAAAACUACAUUGGCCAAAGUUUGGGCGAUCACGACCCUCUCCGACGAAAGGACUUUUCAUACAUGCAGGCCAAUGUGUUGUGGUUUAUUGGCUUACAUAAUGAAACAGGAGAAUGAAGAACGAGAAGGAAUCUGCAACG